Molecule: ribosomal RNA, 433 nt
Filed under: uncultured bacterium
Lineage: Bacteria
Description: partial 16S ribosomal RNA
Rfam family: Bacterial small subunit ribosomal RNA
Source: RNAcentral
AACGAGCGCUGGCGGCAUGCCUAACACAUGCAAGUCGAACGAGACCUUCGGGUCUAGUGGCGCACGGGUGCGUAACGCGUGGGAACCUGCCUUUAGGUCCGGAAUAACUCAGAGAAAUUUGAGCUAAUACCGGAUGAUGUCUUCGGACCAAAGAUUUAUCGCCUUUAGAUGGGCCCGCGUUGGAUUAGCUAGUUGGUGGGGUAAAGGCCUACCAAGGCGACGAUCCAUAGCUGGUCUGAGAGGAUGAUCAGCCACACUGGGACUGAGACACGGCCCAGACUCCUACGGGAGGCAGCAGUGGGGAAUAUUGGACAAUGGGCGAAAGCCUGAUCCAGCAAUGCCGCGUGAGUGAUGAAGGCCUUAGGGUUGUAAAGCUCUUUUACCCGAGAUGAUAAUGACAGUAUCGGGAGAAUAAGCUCCGGCUAACUCCGUG